RNAcentral lists this small RNA (356 nucleotides) under Histoplasma capsulatum. RNAcentral's name for it is "hypothetical RNA". The record is from RNAcentral. RNAcentral also lists the same sequence under 1 other name. Lineage: Eukaryota; Fungi; Ascomycota; Eurotiomycetes; Onygenales; Ajellomycetaceae.
UGCGGUCAAGGUACUGGUUUGCUUGUGCUGGUGGUGGUGGCUAUUUAUUUCGCUGAGCGGCGAUGUGACCGAGCAAGCAUCAGCAUAGCAUUUAGAGGGGGAUUCUCAUCUGUUGGCAGUGCUUUAGCGCUGACACCGAGACAAUCUCCCUCCUUGCGUUUUCCAAGAAAAGUUGAAUCAAAAUGCCACCAGCCUUUCUAAGCACAGGCACUUAGAAAUUGAGUGAUUGAGUGAUUGGUUCCUGUUGGUCUCUUCAACUAACGCCCAUAAUUAGAGCCUCGGUAAUUUCCACCUGUUCUGCUGCUCUUUUCUAUUUUCUCCCAUCUGUCAGAAAAAUAGUCUCCUUGACGGAGAGA